UGUCCAUCUUAUUGGGUUCUGGAAGUAGGUAUUGAUGAUCCUGUGGAUUUGUGCUGGGUCUGUUGUAAUUUCACCCUUUUCAUUCCGAAUUGCAUGGAUUUGGGCCUUUUCUUUCCUUUUUCUGACAAGGUUGUCUAAAGGUUUGUCAAUUUUGUUGAUUCUUUUGAAGAACCAACUCUUGGCUUCAUUGAUUUUUUGUAUCGUUCUCUUAGUCUCCAUUGCAUUGAUUUCUCCUCUGAUCUUUAUAAUUUCCUCCCUUGUAUGAGCUUUGAGGUUGUCCUGCUCUUCUUUUUCUAGAAGCUUGAGGUUCAGCAUCAGUUUGUUUAAUUGGGCUCGUUCUGUUUUCCUAAUAUGCGUAUUCACUGCUAUGAAUUUCCCUCAUAAGACUGCUUUCAUUGUAUCCCAUAGAUUCCGAUAUGUUGUAUUGUCAUUGUCAUUUAAUUGAAGGAACUGUCUGAUUUCUUCUUUAAUUUUCUCUGUGACCCAUUGGUUAUUCAGAAGUGUGUUGUUCAAUUUCCACGUGUUUAUGAAAUUUUUUCAGUUUCUUUUGCUAUGGAUCUCCAAUUUCAUUGCACUAUGGUCUGAUAAUAUACAGGGGAUAACUUCAAUUUCUUUGCACUUACUUAAACAUGUUCUAUGUGUGAGUAUGUGGUCUAUUUUGGAGAAUGACCCAUGUGCAGCUGAGAAGAAUGUGUAUUCUGAUUUUGUGGGGUGGAAGACUCUGUAAACAUCUAUUAAGUUCAUUUGUUCAAGAGUUCGAUUGAGUUCUAGUAUUUCAUUACUUAUUUUUUGUCUAGUUGAUCUAUCUCUUUGUGACAAUGGGGUGUUGAGGUCCCCCACUACAAUUGUAUUAGUGCAUAUAUGACUUUUCAUGUCCAUUAGUAAUUGUUUUAUAUAGUUGGGUGCACUAGUGUUUGGUGCAUAUAUAUUUAUGAUUGUCAUCUCUUCCUCUUGGAUUGUUCCCUUUACAAGGAUGUAGUGUCCUUCUUCAUCUCUCUUCAUCAGUGUUGGUUUGAAAUCUACUUGAUCUGCCAAGAGGAUAGCUACUCCUGCUAUUUUUCAGGUUCCUGUCACAUGUAGUAUUGUUUUCCACCCUUUAAGUUUCAGUCUAUGAGUUUCCUUUUGAAUUAAGUGUGUUUCUUGUAUGCAGCAUAUUAUUGGAUUUUGCUUCUUGACCCAUUCUGCCAGUCUAUUUCUUUUGAUUGGUGAAUUGAGACCAUUAACGUUGAUGGUUAUUACUGAAAUGUAUUGACUUGUCAUUGCCAUGACUUUUUCUUUUUGUUGGGUUCUCCCCCUUUCCAUUUAAUUUCUUGUCAUGCCAGAUGAGUUCAUUCUGCUUUGCUUCCUGGGGUUGUGAUCCUCAAUGUCUGUUCCUAGGAUAUUGUGUAAAAUUCCUUGGAGUGCUGGUUUGGCGUUCACGAAGUUCCUAAGGUGCUCUUUGUCAUGAAAGUAUCUUAUUUCUCCAUCCAUUUUGAAAGAUAGUUUUGCAGGGUACAUCAAUGUGGGUUGGAGACUGUUUUCUUUUAGGGCUUGGAGUAUGUCACUCCAAGCUCUUCUUGCCUUGAUGAUUUGUGUUGAGAAGUCUGCUAUGAUUCUGAUGGGCUUUCCUUUGUAUGUGAUUUGUUUCUUUUCUCUGACUGCUUGGAGAAUUUUGUUCUUCUGUUGUGUUUCUGGAAUCUUUACAAUUAUAUGCCUAGUGUAGAUUUUUUUUUGAUCAAGGCUAUUUGGAGUCCUAUGUGCCUCACUUAUCUGUAUGUCAAGCUCUUUUCCUCUGCUUGGGAAGUUUUCUGCCGUUAUUUCUGUGAAGAGAUUUUUUUAUGUCAUCUCCACUUUCUCCUGUUUCUUCAUUGACUCCAAUCAGUCUUAUGUUAUUCUUCUUUGCAUCAUCUAGCAGCUGCUGGGUUGAUUUCUCAUGUUCCUUUAUAAUUUUGAAACAAUUUUUCUUUUCCUGGUCACUAAUUCCAAUCUUACCUUCUGUAUCUGAAAUUCUGUCCUCACAUUGGCUCAUUCUGCUGUGUAGACUUUCAAUGGAGUUUUUCCUGUCCUGGAAAUCUAUUUGUAUGUGUUUUACGGAUUCCAUUUGUUUCUUAUGUUGGAAUUCCAUCAUGUUCCUUAGCUCCUCUCUAGAUUUAUUAAUCAUGUCUUGCACUAGGGGCCCAAUUUCUCCUGUUAUCUGAGAAAUUAUUUCUGAUUUCAUUUUAUCCAGAUCCCCUUUUGUUUCCAGUUCAGUGGGUCCAGGUGGUUGAGCAUCAGAGUGUUCCAUCUUAUUUCCCUUUGGGGUUGCUGUAGGUCAUCUGGAAGUCUAGUUUUGAGACUUAUUUACGUGUUUUCUUAUUUCGACUGGGGCUUGGGACUGUUAGUGCCUGCACGGAUUACCUCCUCUGAGCUGGGAGAGGUGGGACAGGGGCCUGGAGCAGUGGUAGGGAUGGUGACCCAAAAGCCCUUUCCUGUGGGCUGGGAACAGCGGGAGGGAUGGUGACCAUGAAGCCCCUUCCUCUGGACCAGGAGCAGUGGAAUGGUGGCUCAGAAGCCCCUACCUCUGGACUGGGAGCAGCGGGACUCAGUACCUUGGUCUGGUUUUCUGGUGUCCUCUGCAUCUUUGUAGGGUGGAACCAGGUGGCUUCCUGUCUGCAGCAGGGUGAUUCCGCAUCUUCUGUGCGACUCGGGACCUCAGUAGGUCGUGCACAGACCUGCCUGUCUGAAGCGGGCUGAUUUGGAAUCUUCCGCGUGACCAAAAAUAUUGUUUUUUCUACCUUUCAUUUAUUUUUAAUAUAAUACAGAGUCCACCAAAAAAUGUAUACACACUUCCUGAAAAGAAAUCUUGUAUGAACAUUUUAGUACUAAAUUUAUUGAGCCAUCAUGAGAUUAAUUCAAGUUACCUUUGGCCUCUAUAAUUACAAGAGGUGCUCAAAGUGGAGGCCAUGAGCUUCCAGACAUUUAUUAGUGCCGUGAACUCUGGUUGGGUAACCUUGGUCAUUGAGAUUGCUGCACAUGCAUUUUCAAUUUCUUCUCUAAGGGCCAGAAGUGUAGUGGGUUUUUUGCAGUACAAUAUCCUUUAGUGUCCCCCAUAUGAGGGUAACACCAUUUGUUGAAUAAAAAAACAUACUAUUUUUUUUCCUAAAUUAUGUAUACAUUUUUUGGUGGAUUCUGUAUUUAUUCACUCUGUUGUAAAAGUAAUACACCAUCAAUGUAGACGUAUUUGGAAAACACAAAUAAAUGAAGAAAAAGACAAAAUCAUCUAUGAUAUUUUUACUAACAAUGAAAGAUAAUAAAUUAUUAUUAAUAGUUUGAUAUAUAUGCACCAAAACUUAGGUUUAUGCUCCAAAUGUAGUUGUGGAUUGGCCAUCAAUAUAUUAUGAACAUUUGUUUUUGUUGUUUGUUCAUAAUUUUGCUAUGAUGUGUGAUUUUUUAAUUUAUCAUAUAGUGUUCCAUGCAAUGUAUGUGUUAUAAUUUACCUAGCCAAUUUCUUCUUGUACAUGCACGUUACUUCAACUGUUUCUGUAUUUAAAAUAAGCUAUUAUAAAUAGUAAUGUGGUAACAUUUUUAUGAACAUCUCUGAUCGUGUCUGUAGGAUAAAUUUCUAUUAAGUAGAGUAGAUGCGUCACAGAUGUAUGCAUUUUUGAGGCUUUUAUUACUCUCCCAUUUAUUUAUUGCUGUUUUUGUAUCAGCAAUUUCUUUAAGUAUCUGUUUGGUCAUAUUAAUAUCAAUUUUUUGGCAUAAAACCUUUUUGGGGUCAAAGAAAAGCUAUUAGUGGUCUGAGAGGAAUGAGCACAAAGAGGUGAGAAGAGGUCAACAGAGGUAAGUGAUAUUUUUGUCCAAGAGAUGUUGCAGGCUGCCAAAACUAGGAAGAGCAGCUUUUUCCAAAGUAACUGUGUAUUUUCAAAGAUGGCCCAGAUGCUAGGUGCUAACUUGGCACAAUUGAAAUGUCCCCAUUUGCUGUAAGGCAGUAGCCUGACCCUUCAAGCACACUUUGUGUAUUCACUGAUUAAGAUCACUUACUCUACUAAUCAUUGCACACAGAAAAGAUUUGUAUUCAUCACUCACUAUAUUCUCCUACUCAAGUGUCAUGAAACAUUCAGGGUAUAUUAACUGGCAAAUGCACACCUGGAGUAUGUUGCUUAGCUUUAGAAACUGCUUAUUUUUAAAAAAAAUCAAAUAUUGAAUUUUAAGGAAAAAAAUGAGUUUUGGAUUUGAGUGUGUAUAUCACCUUUCAUUUUGGCCCAAUUAACCCAGCAGGUGUGUGUAAAUUAGGUCAGUACUUUGUCACCGUGGUAACGUGUUGAGGAGGUGGAUCUUAACCACCUCUAGCACAGGUGAUGUUGGCUGAGUUAGUACUAAGAGGUGCUUUAGAAACAAACAAGGUAGAAUUUAGUUUGUUAGAAUGUAAAAACAAAAAAAUCAGUCUGAUCCCAGGUUUCAGUAGAUAAUUCUCUAUGACAUGUAAACAAAUACUACCUUAAAUCUGUAUUAACAAGGAUAAUCUCAUGAGUCUUGGAAUCCAAAAUUUCACAUAAGCCAAGUAUAGUGUCUCAUGCCUGAAAUCCCAGCACUCUGGACGGCUGAGACAGUAGGAUUGAAAAGUUUGAGCUUGGCCUCAACUUAGUGAUUUUGCAGGUGGUGCUGGGGGUAUAGCUUAGUGUGAAGGUGCCCAUACCCCCCCCCCACACACACACUUCAUAUAAAAUUGGCUCAGUCUAUGAAAAAUAUACACUACACUACAGCACUCAUGAGGUAAUGGCCUCAUUUUCUCAUGGUCAGGGGGAUUUGGGGCCUUCAGUCAGUUCUUUGAGAACUAAGCCAUGGUUUUCAGCUGGUCGGAGAAUUCCUGACUCCUCACUUCAGUGCCUAAUCUAGUUAACAUCUAGAGUUUUUUAAAAGUAUAGUGUCCGAUCAUUUAAGCGCUAUUUUUGAUCAAUAUUCACAGUUGUUUCUGGGUUAAGAAGUUGGCAGAGUUGAUCUAUGCCAGCAGUCCAGUACUGUUACUGUCUCUAACUCAGGCUUCUUCUCACCAGGUGGAAAAUCAAACAUGCUUCAAGAUUGCUGGUAGAAAAUGUGCAAUCUGUUUUGCUGCUGAAGGUUCCAAAUCAUGUGGGCAUUCUGCAGCCUCAUGGUGUGGUAGAAUUUCUUCACUUAUCACUGACAAGUUCACACCUUUUUGUCAUUAAAAUUGUAAAUAUGCAUUAUCAGAUGCAGAAAACAGGCCAAAUUAAUGAUAUUACAUAUAUUUUCCAAGAAAGCAUCUCCCAUGAUCACUUUCCACACUCAGAUGUGAAAGAUAUUUCCACUGAGCCUGUUGUGCCAAUUUAUAUGUGGCUUUAUGAUUUUUCAGUUUUCCUGUGCUCUACUUAUAAUUUUGAAGGAUUUUUGUAUACCACACUUCAUUUUUUGGUGAUAUUUCACAUGUGACAUUUCAGAAACUUGAAUCCCCCUAGUGUUUAUUUUCAGUUGGUUUUGGCCACAGCUUUAUUACUUAUUUCAUGUGUUUUCAAUGGUUAAUAUUUACAAAACACUGAACAAACUCUUCAAGAUUGCUUUCUGUAAUCUCCCUCUCUGUGUAUCAAGAAUGAGGUAACCAGAGAAGAGGCAUAGUGACUCACCCCAUGUCACAGAGUAUGUGAAUUCACUUUCAUAGGAGAACCAAGGGUCCCUGGCUUUCAAGUUUGUUUCUUUUUUUGUAUUCCCAAGAUGUCAUACAGGUUUGGAGAUUUAUAAAAGGAAAGCAUUCCUGUGUAGAGAAACAGUUGACUCAAGUAUUCUUUAACUUCUCUUUUAGCAUAUACUCCCUCUUUCUGUUCCUUUUCUUUCCUGUCAACUCUUGGUUGACUGUGAAAACCAUUUCUUCUUGAAGAGCUGGUUUAUACAAUAAAUACCUGAGGUCUCAGUAAAGUCUAUUAACUUGUUAAGGGAAUGGUGGGUAUGCAUUGUUCACUGGAGAGCAGUAUAUCAUAUUCUACCUCGUCUCUUUGGAAAGAAAGCUAGUGGCAGCACACAUUAGCAUUGGACCAGAGCUUUGUCACAGAAGAAUCAUAGGUUGUUUCAGAAAUAAGACACAAAACAAAAUACAUGAAAGGAUUGAAUUUACCAGAGGUAAUAAAGGAAGUUUUGGUAGAUUCAGGGAACUUGAACCCCUGAAUUGUAGUAACUAAGCUGGAGGUGGGGGUAGAUAGUUAAAGUAAUUUCUUUCCUUGUUUGAUGAAAUAAUUUUGGGUCUUUUAGGUAGCAUAUUAGAGAGAAGGUGAGAGAGAGACAGAGAUAGAGACAAGAAAGAGACAGAGACAGGGAGAGAAAAACUUGGUAUAUCUGAAACAAAGAGCUUACACAGUCAUCGAGCUGGUUGGUUUUUAUACCUUCCUUUACCAAGUAUUGUCCUUCAGUACAAUACAAAGCCAUUUCUUUGUUCUCACAAGCUAGCAGUUAAAUUGUAUGUAAAUGUAUGCAAAUUAGAUGCUGUCUAAUAAAGAGAGUCAUUAGAUGGAAGAAAUAUUUAGUUUAGGAAAAAAAGCAGGUGUAUUGUGUAAAAGAAAAUGUAAGGCUACAAAAAAGCCCAAACUUUUGUGGACAGUUAUAGAAAAAAUUAUUAAAAUGGAUUUUUUUAAAGACUUAUGUCUUCCUGACCUUUCCUUUGUGCUUAUAUAUAUGUGUGUGUUUUAAAAAUAUUUACAUAUAAAACUAGGGGAUUGGCUUCUUUCCCAGAUUUACUGGAAGUACCUUCACGAGGAACAUUUGGACUUGAAUAAUCUCCACAGCAGCAUUUUCUUUCUAGAAUUAAAUGAAUUGUAAAAUGGAUGAUUGGCCCAGGAAUACUGAAUCUUUAUUUGGGUUCCUUAUUUGGGUUGAUAGAGGCCAAGUGGUCCCAGGUAUUUUGCAGUUGGUCAUUUUAGCAAUCUUAAGAUUUACUUGUUACACUUCUCGACCCCAAACUCUUAAGGGCUAAUAUAAAUUCCUUAAAAAAGAUAUGAGAAUAACCAACAGUUCCUUUUGAAAUUAAUCAAUGCUGUAUUGAAUGUGUAGCACAAUACCUACCAUUUACCAGACACCAUAUUUUUAAAAUUACUAAGUGAAUAAUUGGUUUCAGUAGUCAGAAAAGUGGUUAUAGGUAUAUCCAACACCUUUCUUUUCUCCGUCAUAUAGUUAGUAAAGCAAUUCCACAGGAUUGCCUAUAGCACUUCUAUGAUGAAUACAUAGUGAAAAACAUGUUUCACUGUCCAGUUCCUCAAGCCAACUGUAACCAAAGUGUUUUGUGCUCAAGUAUCACUCAUCAUGGGAGGUGUUUGUGGGGCAUAGAAUAAUAGGCAUAGUAGUUUCUCUCUUGGAGCUCGUGGUCUACCAAAGGAAUCAGACAUACAAAUUCUCCGUGCAUGACAAAAUUUAAAAUAUAGUCACAGAUACAGUAUUAUGGGAGCACGAGAGAUAAAGAGAAAUUCUAACUGAAGGUUAUCAGAGACAUCAGUGUGAACUUUAGAGACCUAGAAUGGAAUACCUCAUAUGUGGGUAGUUUGUUACAAUAUGAAAAGCACUUGGCUAAAGUUUUAUUUCACUUUACUAUAGUAACCUUUUAGGUAGCAUAAUUGACAUUAUUUUUCCAUUUUACAGAAAAGAGAACUGAGAUUCUCAAAAGUUGAAUCUCUUAGCCAGGAUGACAAAAUAAAUGACAAAGCCAAAUGUUCCUGUUAAGUUGUCUAGUUCUUUCUGUUUACUUCAUUAUCACCCAGAAGAAAUACAUGGAAUAAUUCUAUGGUAACACAAGCACCAUACAUCUUGGUUUCUAAUUUUAUUCAAACAUUAUGUCUCCCUUUUUUUAUCUGGUACCAUGGGUAAAGUGUCUAAGACCAAAACUGAAGGGAGACAUGUAUUGGCAAGAAACUGAUUAUUUUGGUAAAUGAGAAUGGAUAAAAAAAAAUAAUGAGUCUAGACAUUGAAAGAAUUUUAAUCUGUUUUCUUGACUUUUGAGUUAAAGAAAAGAUUUCAAUGUGAAGGUGAACAAUAGUCUGCACUGUACUAAUCUUAGAGGUAACCAAAAGGCUGUGGGACUAACAGCUUUUGAUAUACUUAGUGCUUAUUAUUGUUAUUAUUAUUAUUUCUUUUUAAUUAUGCAAAGUGCUAAUCAGUUUGAUUAUGCACAGUGCUAAUCAGGUUAAUUAUGCAAAGUGCUAAUCAGUUCUUCUUGAAGCACGAGAGGAGAGCAGAGGUGCUGGCGGUGAAUGGCGUAGCUAGAUGCGGGUAGUCACGGCAGUCAUUCCUUAUUAAGAUAGGAGUAGACAAGAUAGCAAGAGGAAUUUAUCCAUAAAAAUAAAGAGGAAAAGAAAGAAAACUAUGAGUACAUGAAAGAUUAUGGCUUUGGCAGGACAGCACUUAAACAUAGAAAGCUUUUUCCCCCCUGUUGCAUACCUCGGUUGGAUGGUUCUGCUACAUUUUGAAGGCACUCAUUUGAAGCCAAAAAGACUGCAGAGGGAAAGAAACAGAGUAUUGUAUAGCUAGACAAGUUGUCAAAACAACUUAUUGUAGUUGGCAAGCACCAAUUCCUAGGAGGACAGUAGAGGAAGUAGAAUCUAAUAGACCUAUACAUGAAAGAGGAUAUCAGUAAAGAGAAUUGAAAAAUUAAGGGAGUGCCAUUCUGAUAAAAUAAACAAGACCAUCUCACUAUUGCAUUGUUAUUUGGACGGGCAUCUGUGUAGCAUAUUUCCUGAGGUGAUCUGAGGGCUGGCUUCUUGGUAGUGGCAGUGGUCUCUAUUGAGUGUGGUGAUGACGAAUAUGGUAACAAAGGUUUUAUGUAAUAGCUCCUAGUUGGAUAAGCUUUGUUGCUGCUGAAAUCGAAGUGAAUUUUAAUAUUAACUUGCAGGUCUGUGCUUAUUAAGCUGGGUGACUUCCUGUGAAGACGAGUUUAUAGCAGUAUGUUCAUACAUUUUUAUAGAACAAUGACCAUGGAGCUCCCGUAGGAAAGCCCUUUUUAUUCAGCCCUCCUGUUCUCUUCUGUGGUUUGAUAAGGUAUCAAUGAAAUGUUACGAUAUCUACUUGUUUGAAUAUAUUCAAAGAGCAGAAAGCAUUUCAGGAUACUAAGUGAAUAUUCAUGUUUUAAAAAAUGUUUCCAGUCUAUGUGACUUCUUCUUACUCUAGAAUUUGAGCAGAUUUCUAAGUACAUUAUAAAAAAAGGGGAUCUGCUUCUCCUUCUAUAACUUGACAGUGUUUAUUUACUUUUCCUUUUUUAUUUUUAUUUUUAUUUUUUGGUACUGGGGAUCGAACUCAGGAACUUGCGUUUGUGAGGCAGGAGCCGGAACCACUGAGCUAAAUCCUCAGCCCCUACUUUUCCUUUUUUAUAUCCAUCUCUAAGCACAACUCAUCUUCAUAGGUGGCUUAAAUGAACAUGAUUUCUGGAAAUGUCCAAAUAAUGAUAAGAAUGCACCAGAGGCAAAACCAUUGCUGGUGUCUCCAGAAUAUGGCAUAUUAAUGAGUUAUUUGUCCGGCUAGGAUUCAGUGUUGAAUAAAAACAGGCUUUCAGUUUUCAUGUUUUUCUUUAAUGGGACCAAUUUCAUUUUAAAAUAUGAAAAGAAUGACAUAAAUCUUUGAUUUCCAAGGAGAGUCUGUAAAGAAAUAGAUUGUUAGAAGACAGCACCCACAAAUUGAGAAAGCCUGUUGGGGGCCCUUUGAGAAUUUGGCUGGAAAAUUCUGUUAUAAGCAGUCCUUCUGCUCAGCUUCAUGGGAACAUGAUUUUAGAAAUGAAACAUUGAUUCUAUGUGUCCCAGCUAUAAAAACUAAGAUGAAGAUUAAAUGUUCAUAUUACCACUUUAGCAAAAUGUUUUUAGUUAUUUCAUAAUAAUUUUUAAAACUUUUCUUCAUUAUUUCAUAAAAAGUACGUUAUAAGUUCCAUUUAUUCAUUAUAUACUAACUUCUUUUUUUGUUGUUAGUACAAACACACAAGUUUAGAUAUCGUUUUGUUUCUCAUGUCAGAAACCCAAGGUAUAUUAAAUUCUUAAUUCCUGAUGAAGGCAUUUGAAGCCAGAGACCUUGCUUGUAAGGCAUUUAUAAUAUCACUAGAAUGUUUCAAGUAAAAACUUAUAUGAUCAAAAAAUGUAAAAGAAUUUGGUAACAACUGACUGUUAUGGGCAGUUUCCUGAUUAAUUAUUACCUUUGUACUCAUAUCAUAGACACUGUCGUACAUAACCUAUUCAUUCCAUCAUUAAAAUGAUGUUAUUUGAACACUUGGUUUUUCUGUUGCUGUUGUUGUUUUGUUUUGGUUUUUUGGUACCAGGGAUCGAACUCGGGUCCUUGCGCAUGCGCAGCAGGCGGCGAAACCACUGAGCUAAACCCCUGGCCCUGAACACUUGGUAUUUAAAAAUAUGUACUGUGUGCUAGUGACAGUUUCAUGAACUCUCCUGGAUAUUUGAAAUACAAUUGGUCAAAAACAACACAAAAUACUGGGCAUCAUGGAGCUCGCCCACACUAGAUAUUUUGCUCAUAAUUUUGAGCCUUAGGGACAAAGAUUUGUAUUUUACUUCUUAAAAUUUCUCUUCUUAGUAAUCUGUAUGAUUCAACUGCUAAGCUUUACUAUCUUAAAUUAUUCAAAAAUUAAAAGGUUGGACUAGAAUGAUUUUCAACUUGACCUAAUAUCAUAAACAUUAGAGUCUAUUAGCUGAUUAGACUAUAAAAUGAAUUUAUCCUUUGUUAACAUAUGACAAGCCUUGGAAUCAUAAAAAGUUCCUUUACACUUUGGUCUUUUAGAAAUAAGUAAUUUUUAACUAAUCCAGUGGACAUUUUCUCUUUAGAUUUAGACCAAAUUUUAUUGUAGAAAAGGGCGGACAUUGGAGUAAUCUUUGGUUUCAAUCCUAGCUCUUCCUGUUACUAGCUGAGUAAGUCAUAACUUCUUUGAUCCUCUGUUUCUUCUUAGUUCCUAUCCCAAAUGGUGGCUAUGUCUGUUUAUUGAAAUAAACCACAUGUUCACUGAACUCACUGUCCAUUGAUGCACUGGAACCAAGCUUGCUCCAUAGUCAGUCCUUUUUUAUUUCUCAAAACUAUAGCUGAUCUCACCCUACUACUAAAAAAUUCCUUGUACUAAUUUUGCUUCCUUUCCCUAAGCUGCUUUUUCCUGCAUUGAACCUUUAUUUUAAUUAACUCAGUAUUUUCCCUCCCAUUACAUCUUUCUUAAAAUUUUUACUUUUAUUUUUAUUAUUUCAUGUUUGCAAUAUAUGAUGAUUACAUUUAUUGUGUGGAAUUGGCAACUCUUUUUAGUUUUAUUUCUUCUUGUGCUUCUUAUGUUCUUUGACCCCCUUCCUUGUUUAUGCUCAGUCAAUUUUUGGUUACUUAUAUUUACCAUAUAUAGUGUAGUCUUGAUUAUAACAACAAUAAAUAGUGUGUACAACUCUAAUUCAAAUCAUAAGCAGAAAUAUGUUGCCUCCAUCAGAGCAAUAUUAUUUUUGUUUAGUUUCUGACUUCUUGACCAUAAAGGAAAUUUCUGGACCACAAGGGCCAUGUCUUAAAUCUUUAUAUUUCUAGUAUCUAGCUGUGCUCUACCAAUAAGAGUCCCACAGUCUAACUAGGCACAAGAACUUUAAAGCAGAAAGACAUAUGAUCUAUUAACAAGUGAAGUGUCACAGAAUUGGAGAUUUGGGGAAAACUUCAUAGAACAGGUAUUGAGAAGUCUUCUUAGAGAAAAUAAUGUUUGAAUGUGAUCUUUUUUAGAAAAAGUAUUUUAAUUUUUCCCCAGUUAAAAGAGAAGGGAAUGCAUUCUAGACAGACAGGAAAAUAUGGAAAACUCAUGCAUACAAAAUGUUGACAGGUAGCUCUUCAGAAACUAAAUUAAAAUGGGAUUGUUUUUAGUAUAGAUUUCUGCUUGGCUGCUAUUUCUUUGGAUCUAAACUAGGCAUUCUGUGGGCCACAACUUUGUUCCCACAUUCCCACUGCCAUCACCAACACAUUGCACAAAGGAAAUAAGGGUCAUAAUUUUUAAUAUUUCACAAGUAAUUGGUAGAUUUCUGGGAUUUGUGCUCGAUUUAUCAGUUGUUCCUGAUGUUACAAUUAAAACCAUAAAAAUAUGAGAAUGAGGAGGAUGGUCAACUUGAUUAUGUGAUUCAUACCAGAUGACAGUCCCCUCAAGAUGACACUGAUUUCUUCUGCAUUUUGCUACAUGCUGUAUUAGUCGGUCUUCCUGUCACUGGGAAACAAUACUUGACUCCCACAGGUUACAAAGAAGAGGUUUAAUGGUUUCAGGGGAUUCAGUAGAUGGUGAUAUAGGUCCAAAGAAUAAACAUCAUGGUGAAAGAGUGUGACAGAGCAAAGAUGAUCAGUUCAUGAAAAUCAUCAGGCAGAGCAGAGAACAUCAACAGAGAAGAAAGGAAGCAAUGUCCAUAUAUAGUGCCCAGGGUCAUGCCUCCAUGACCCACAUGGAUGCACCAAAAGUUGUGCUUUACUAAUCUGUUAGGCAUUUCUCAAUCCAAUCAAGCUUAUGUCAGAAUUACUGAUCACAAAUGUUAAUUUUAAUUCAUGUUUUCUACUUGUUAGGGUUCAGAUAAGCAAACCAGUUCCAUAUUAACCAUAACAAAUGUGUGCUCAGUUAAAAUAAAAAGACUUUUGGGUAUUAUUGUCUUUUGGAGUAAUCUUUGGAGUUUUAGUUGGCCAAUCAGUGAAGAUCUCAAUAAAAAAUUUUGGCAAGUAAAAUAUUAUCCAUUAAAACAACAUUAACUAAUAUUGUAAUUCAGGUAUUAAAGUUCCACAAGUAUAGCUCUUUGAGGGUUGAAAUUAUUCUUUGUAAGAUUGACUAGCCACCACUGACAUAGGUGGAUGUGUUUCACUUGAUGUGUCUGUAAACUUGAUGUGUCUGCCAACCUGUGCUAGAAUUCCAAAGGCAGUGUGAAUAUUUCCAAACAUUAACUACGCACUUUUUAAAAGUAGGUUUUAUAUAUUGUCAAAUGUUCAUUUUGGAGAUUUUCUUCUUCUUUUUAAUGUUGGCAUUAAGAAAGAGUGCAUACAUCAUAUAGUUACAUUUAUGUUCUUUUAAAAGAAGAAAUUCUGAGCAAUGCAAUAGUAAGCAUAUGGCUACACAAAGAUUAGAAAAGCUGUGGCCAUCAGGAAUAAAUAUUGGUAAUAACACUGAUGGAAUUUCACACAUACAGUUUAUUGUGAGAAAAGAAAGAUUCACACAGAACUUAGAUAAGGAAAUAGGCUUGCUUUUAAUGAAACUAUAAAUUAAGUAAUUUUUUAACUAAAUGAUGGCCUGUGAAAUUUGGCUUCCUGUUCUACUUGAAACACUUUAGAUCAGAUGGAUUUUUUCCUACCGUUCUUAUCAGUACUUAGUCUAGUGUUACUGGUUAAGUUUCUAUAGCAAUCCAACAUUUUAAAUCAAUAAAAUAUCUCUGAAUAGUGAAAUGUAUCACUGCUAUAAACACUUCUAUGAUGUAAAAAAUGCGGAAACGACAUGUCUGGAUAUAAAGUAAAAUAGUUUUAGAUGUGUUGUUUGGUUGGUUUUUGUUUGUUUGCUUUUAGUUUUAGUUUAGUUUAGUUUUGUUUUGAGCUUUGUUUUCAGCCUAGUAAGAAUAAAGGAAAAGAUGAAAUCUUUAGUUUCUGAAGCUAUGGAAAACACCUCCUGGUCUUACUUUUCUGUCUUUAACACAUAGAUAUUUAAAGAAGCAUUACAAGAUUUUUGAACAGUUUCUGUUAUUUACAGUUUUUGAAUAGGAACCAAAUCAGACUUUCACUGAGAAAUAGAGUUGAAUUUGCCACUAAAGUGGAGCUCAGAGAAGAAUUUUUUAAAAUCUUAACAGUUAUCUUUCUUUGAGUAUUUCAUAAGAAUAUUGGAAAAAGUACUUUGAAAGGUACCUACUAUGAUCCUGUAUCUAAUAUAGAAACUAUGAGUAUAAGAAAGGAGAGGAUUUAAAAUUCAAUUAAAUGUGACAGUUACUGUAAACACCCCUCUCUCUCUCUCUCCCUCUCUCUCUCCCUCUUUCUCCACCCCCCCCCCCGUCUCUCUCUCUCCACCAAAACAUGUAUACACAUUUCAGGAAAAGAAAAACUUGUGUAAAUAUAUUAAUACUAAAUUUAUUGAGACAUCAUGAGAGUAAUAUAUUACCUUUGGCCUCUACAAUUACAAGAGGUGCUCAAAGCAGUGGCCAUUGGCUUCCAGACAUUUAUUGUUUUGGCGAACUGCUGCUUGCAUAACUUUGGUCCAUUGAGAUUAUUGUACAUGCGUUUUCAUUUUUUUUUUCUCUAAAGGCUGGCUAUAUAGUAGUUUUUCUGUAGUAUAUGCCAUCCUCUAGGUGCCCCCAUACAAGGGUAACACUGUAUGUUGAAAAAAAAUCAUACUACUUUUCUUUUCCUGAACUGUUAAUACAUUUUUGGCAGUAUAUAUAUAUUAUAUGUGUGUGUGUGUGUUUGUGUUCUAAAUUGAUGUUAACUCUAUUUAGGAAAAUAAGAAAGCACUCAGCUGAAUAUUAUUGUCAUAUAAUAGACAAAAUAAAUUUGAACUGGUAAGAUGAUAGUGAUGAAGUUGAAAAAUUUGGUCUUGAUGUAGUUAGUAAAGGAAAACUACAAAUGCAAAUGACACUGAAGGAAGGACUAUUUUAAUAUUCUGAAUGAGUAGCCACAAUAGAUAUUGAGGAGAUACACAACAGAACAUGGUUUCAGUAUUAGGCUUAAUUAAAGCAAGAUUUGGGCAUGUACUCUAAGGAAUUUUUAGAUACCAUUUUUUCUUUUACCCAUGCAUUAAUGCUGCAUUACAAUAAGCAAAAAUUGGGCAUCUAUAAAUCUUUCCUUUCUUUCAACAUUGACAUAUCUUCAGUAGCCUCCUAAUUUGAGAUCAUUUGAAUUUUUGGAGCAUGGAUAUCUCUGGAAUAAACAGUUCUUCUGAGGUAGCUCAGGUUCAUAGCAAAGGAAGUUUUAUGAAAUCAUAAUACAGAGUAAUCAAAACAUUUUUAUCAUAUAGGACUUUUUGCCUAAAUUAAAAGGUCACUGUUAAUUAAAUUGGUUAUUUGAAACUUCUCUCCUUUCUCAUCUUUCCUCCCCUACCUGCCAGUUAUUUCAUACUGAAUUCCCAUUAUAAGAGUAAAAAUGAUCAAAGUAACCUCUGCACAUUUUACUGUGAAAAAUAUUUUGAGGAAUUCUAUUGGUACGAGCCAAUGGAAGAUGACGGUUUGCUUAUUAAAACAAGUUUUGAAUGUCCUGUCCUAUUGAUCAUGUGUAAAUAGUAUAAAAAAAAUCUAAUGUAUGGUAGAGAAUUUAUAUUUUCUUUCCUUUUCACCUUUGAGCUUUUAUUUUCUAUUUUAUUUAAAAAUUAAAUUUGCCUUUUUUUUCCUUUGCCAGUGGUGUCAGCUUUCUUGGAUUUUAAUUGAUGAGAGAAAUACAGGUUCCCUGAGACCCAGAGUAAAACUCACUUACUUUCUUCUUGAAAUCAUGAUACUGGCUGUUAUUCUAACAAAACAAAAAUAUUCAGGAAGAGAUUUGGCAGAAAUUGUGUCAAUGAAUGAUGAGCUGGGGUAAUUGAAUUGGUAUUUCAAGAAUACCAGUGUAACUCAUGUGUAAGAAAACUUUAAUUUGCCACCCUAAGAAAGUUUUUAGCUGAAAAUCUCAGGGACACAAUCUAUUUCAUAGACAAGUCUUUUCAGUCCUCAAUAAUUAUCCUUUCUUAUGAACUCAGUGCUCUCAGAAUAUUCUCCUCCUCCUUUGGUCCUGUCUUUCCUCUUGUUUAAGGAUGAUUUUUGAUCGCUUAAUUUCUUUUAUGUUGACUUUUUUUGGAAAAUACUUUAAGAAACAUUGAUGGAUUAUUUCUGUCUGGUAAGCAUGAUGUAUUUUACAUGCUGUAUUGGUCAGAGUUCUUCAGAGAAACAUAACCAAUUUUAUGUACACAUAUUUGGAAAGAAUUUUGUAUAAGGAAUUGACUCAUAUGAUUAUAGAGGCUGGAGGCCAGGAGAGCCAAUGAUAAAUUUCUAAUUUUAACUUAGUUCAAAGGCUAGAGUAUUGAUGGUGUUCCCAGUCUGAAAGCUUGAAGGCUUGAAGGCUUAAGAUCCAGGAAGAACUAAUGCUUUAAUUUCAGUCUGAAUGCAGAAAAAUCUUAUAUUCCAACUUAAAGUUUGUAAAGCAGGAGAAUUUUCAUCUUUCUCACCAAAGAGUCAGCCUUUUUAUUCUAUUUAUGCAUUCAUUGAUCAGAGAAGGCCCACAAACAUAAGGGAGGGUAAUUCUCACUAAUUGGCUACUGAUUCCAAUGUUGGUCUCAUCCAGAACACUGUCACUGACACAACCAGCAUACUAUUUGACCAAAUGUCUGAGCACCCUGUGGCCAGUCAAGUUGACAUACAAAAUUAGCCAUCACACAUAUAUUACCUAAUUUAAUCCUAACCAAAGCACAACUCAAAGCUCUGUGAAAUAGUAUUAAUGAUUAUUAGCAAAUUUAGUGGUUAAGAAUACAGUAUAUGAUGAGAUUGCUUUUAUUGAAAUUCUCCUCUUACUACUUACUUUUUAACAAUAGGGAAGUUACUUAACCUAAUCUUUCUCAAAUAAUACUGCAUACAGUCAAUUAUCAGAAUCUGAAGGUUAUAGGUUUGACUCCCACAAGUAUCACAAUCCAUGAAUCUCAAGUGUCUUAUAUAUAAAAUGACAUAGUAUUUCCAUGUAAACCACACACAUCUACUUAUAUAUGAUAAAUCAUCUUUUGAUUACUUAUAAUACCUACUGUUAUAUAAAUAUGUAAAUAUUUAAAACUAUAUAAGUAGAUACUAUAUUGGAUCGUUUAUAAAAUAGUAACAAAAUAUUCUGUAUAUAUUAUUGCUGAUCUGUGGUAGGUUGAAUUCAUUGACGUAGAAGCCCAGAUACAGAGUGUCCACUGGUAAGUUAUUUUGAUAAUUAAAUGAAAUAAUCUUUGUACAAUGCUUAGCCCUGAUAAGUGGAAGUUAGCAUAGUACUCAGUAAAGUUUAGCUUUAAAUACACACGAAAAUAAAUAUUCAUAGUGAUUAAGAGUCUUGCCCAAGGUCAUAUAGCCAGUAAGUAGUAAAAUUAGGAUUUGAAAUUAUGCUGUCAACCUCCAAAAUUAUUCAUUUUAUUAUUUGUCUCUGUUAAUCUCUACAGGGAAGAAGUACAAUGCAAUGGCUAAGGGCUUUUGACUCCAUUGUUUAGAAUCUUGACUCUCUCACUUUGACGAAAGGCUUUAAGCAAGUUACUUAAUUUCUCACUACUUUUGUUUUCUCAUCUUUAAAACAGAAAUAAAACAGUACCUUUCCCACCAUAACACAGAAUCAAAUAAUUUUUAGGAAUAUCUUUUUCUAUGAACUUUAAAUGAUAGAUUUUCACCACAGGAAGUUUCUUCAUUUACCCUGAAAUUAUGUGGGUUGGUACUGUCAUAGGGAAAAGAUUUAUGAAAUGAAGGAAAUAUUGAAAAUAUAUUAACAUAUUCUUAAUAUUACAAGUGACUGUUUCACAAUGCAUUUCUUCAGAAAGGUUUUUGUGUGUGUGUGUGAGGGUAAAAAUAAUGGCUUUCAUUCAGGAAUAAUUGUAUAACAUGAACUUGAAACCAAUGGACAGGAAAUGGAACCAAGUCUAGGAGGAAUCCUUGAUAAAAUGACAGCAUUUAGACAUCUUUUUUGUGAUUCUCUUUUUCCUUUUAAUAGAAGCACUGUAAGGUCCACCACCUAAGACCAAAUAUUUCCCUCUAUUAUAUGACAAGAAGACUCAGAAUUUUAAAAUGUUGUAUCUGAAUUCUCAUCUGUCAACCAAGAGCAGCUGAAAGUCACGAGCCUUGGAGAGCUUUCAUACUUAUGUAUUUGUUUUUAGACAAAUGUGUUUGUUUGAAGGUCUAAAAACCAUGGAAAUAGGCACCAUGGAAAUGCAUAGUUGAGAGUAGAAGCUCUAGCAGUAUUGACUCAAUCUUUGAUCUUUCUGUGUGAUGAAUUAAAUGCCACAUGCUUCAGUUGGCUGCGUAUUGGGUCUUUCAGCAUUGUUCACAGUAAAUACAAUUAUGUAGGAAGGAUAAGAAACUGAAUUUUUAAAGAAAUUAAUGUGAGAUUGGUCGUCAUUUGGCUGGUGCUUAUGGAAAGACAACUCCAGAGAAAAUUGUGGAAAAUCAUUCUUCCCUAUAAAUUUUUAUACCCAUAAAAUAAGAUUAAAAUUAAUAUCAAGACCAGCCUUCAAGGGGAAACAUAAAAUCCAUAUGUAAUUUGAAGGAAGUAUAAUACUAAAUACUAUAUAUAAGUAUAAUAAUAUAAUACUGUUACUUUCUUACUUCAAAGUGACCAAAAAAACUGUAAGCAUUUUACCCCCAACACUUGUUCACUCCUCGGUGCCUUUUAAAAUUUAACUCCUGUAGAGAGUUAGAAACCUGUCUUUUCUGAGUUCUUCUAUGUAUUGCCUGCAGCCUAUCUGCCUCCUACAAUUUGGAGUCUUAACAGUAGGCAACAGUUGUGGAUAUCAUAUUAAAACUAUCAGAAUCAGAUGAAAAUUUUAUGGUAACCAGAAGAUGGAAAUGUCCUCUCUUUCAUAAGAUAACAGUUACUUAUUGUAUCCUUUUUGUUUUCAUUGAAUUACAAGAAUUAUAAGAAUUACUUUUUUGACAAUUGACAUGAACAACGUUAUUCAAAGGAAACAUGCUUAAGAAAUAGAGCAGGAGGGAAAUUGUAAUUGAGUCUGCAAACCUUUUUUACCUUGGCUAAAUAAAUAAGAAAUGAUAACAGGCACAAUAUAAUAAAAAUGAGAAAUACAGGUUCAAGCAUGAUGUUUUAUUUAACUCCAUUUAAUCUUAUAGGGUGGAAUUUGAUAGAGACCAUGUCAGUGGACAUGUUUAUAAAGAUUGUCAGUGGAAUACCUGGGGCUAUUUUAUUAUUGUUAUGAGUAUGUACAAACAGAAAAGGAAUGCUAAAUAAUUCUGAAUGUAAUAGUGAUUUUAAAUAUCAAAUUCAGUUUUCCAAACUCACAGAGCAUCAGGUGGAAGCAGAUCUGUCAUUUGUAUCUAAUUCCUUAUUCUAAUAUACUAGAAAAUCAAAUAUAUCAGUAUCAUGUUGCCUUUGCCAACAGGUGUUUAGAAUGUUUUCCCAGCAUUGCUGAACUUCCAGCUAGAAGAUAUAUGUUUCAUAUUUAGAGGAAGGAUAAGACUUACGUUGAGAGUCUAGCAAUGCUUCAGCAUCGAAAUUAAGGAUCAUUAGCCUCUUUCAUUUUAUUAUAAAAGAGAGGCUUCUAUAACAUGUCUGGAGAAUCAGUUUGCAUUCAGAAAUAUUCACAAAAGCUGUGCUUUGUGUCUUUUAACCAGAGAAAAUGAACUGAGGUUAUUUUAAAAUCCUUAAACAUCUCAAGUGAAUUAUCAGAAUAAAAUAAAUCCAACUAUGUGUACUCCUCAACAAAAUAUAUUUUAGUGAGUUAUAUUCUGAGAGCAUUUGCAUAGUGUACAGUGGUAGCACAUUUUACAUUUCAACUGUGUAACCACAAUUGAGGUGAUCGACCUUUGUGGCAGGACUGUUCUAAUUAGCCCAUAUCUGAUAGGUAGUUUUUAAGGCCUUAUUUAUCUCCUAACUUUUUGUGCACUUAUUUAUUUCAUUUUUAUUGAAAUGGUAUCAUUUUAGUCGCUUUUCUCAUUUCUGGGACAAAAUACCUGACUCACAGUUUAAGGGAGGAAAGGUUUAUUUUGACUCAUGUUUCAGUCCACAGUAGGCUGGCUCCAAAACAGCUAGGCAUAGUGGAAGGGCCUGGUAGAGGAGAGCUGCCUAUGGCUUAGUGUCCAGGAAUGAGAGAGAGAGAGAGAGAGAGAGAGAGAGAGAGAGAGAGAGAGAGAGAGAGAGAGAGAGAGAGUGUCAGUCAAAGGAGGAGCUGAGAAGGGAGAUAUAACUUUCUAGGUCAUGCUUAUAAUGACUUACCUCUUUUAAACGGGCCCCAAAUCCUGACAGUCAGCUGUAAUGCCUCUAUGAUCCAGUCACCUUACAAUGGCCCUACCUAUGAUUGCAUGAGGCUUUAGGGGGACAUCUAGAUAUAAACCAUAACAUUGUGUCCCUGGGUCCCAAAAAUCUCAUGAAAAUCUCUUUAUGCAAAAUGCAUUUCGUCCACCUGUAAGAUUUGGCAAAAUCCUAGCAGUUUUGGCAUUGUUGAAAAGAUGAUGGCAGGAUGGAAGGGAGGGAAAGGGAAUGGGGAAAAAAGAAGAACCAAGAUAUAUCAUGUACCAGUACAAAUUCUCAGUGUUGAAUGUGAUCAUAAUGUUUACCCAAAAUGUACUAAUAAACUUAAUUUUUAAAAAAAGAAAGUCUGAAGCUCAAAGCAAACUCGUAUCUGUGAGCGCCUGUAAAAAUCAAAAGAAAUAUAUAACAGCACAGGGUAAACAUUCUCAUUCCAAUAGGGAGAAAGAGAGGAAUAGAAAGCAGUAGGACCAAAGUAAGAAUGAAACACAUCAUGAUAACAUUAAAUCCCAUUGUUCCAUGUCCAGCACCAUGGGCAAGUGGUGGUUAAAUUCCAACUCCGAACGGCUUGGGUGGCCUCACCCCUACAGCACUGCUAGUGGUUACAACCUUAUGGUUUCUCUCUUGGACAGGCUUUGCUCACUAGUUGUGGCUUUCCUCAGUCGUUUCAUGUACCUGGCUCCUCCAACUUUCUGGGGUCUGCACUGCACUUUCAACUUCAUUCUUACAACUUCAUGCCUUGCCCUCUCGGGCAUACUGCCUCGCUGCAAAGGCCUUCUGAAAUCUGAGUGGAAGCCUUCCUGUCCCCUCAACUCUUGCAGUUCUGCUUGCCUGUAAAAGCAGCACCGUGAGAUUAAGCUUUUAGCCAGGAGUAAGCCAAGCUCCCUUGAAUUGUGGUCACAGAAGUCUCUGAGUUCCUCGAUGGUGAAACACAGUGAACCCAAUCCUGGCAAAUCAGUUCCCAAGGCAUCCCUUUUCAAACAGGGUGCCCUGGAGCUGUCUUCUCAAAGCAGUCUUUCACUUUUCCAUUCUUGAACAGGCAAAGGGAGGGAGGGGUCUUGCUGAUUUCUCAUAUGCCUGCAAGCCAGUUUUCCUAUUGUCUUGAUCCAAAGUACAUAGCUUCUAUCAAUGCUAAUCUUUUCAGCAACCAAACUGUCCUCUGCUCCAUCCUUUCAGGUGCUUGCUUUCUGACAAAACUGAAUGCCUGUAAUCCCAGCACUUGGGAGGCUGAGGCAGGAGGAUUGCCACGAGUUCAAGGCCAGCCUGGACUACAUAGUGAGUUUCAGUCUGAGCUACAUAGCAAGACCCUGUCUCCAAAAAAAAAGGACUUUUAGCUCUUGAUUUUCAGUAUAGUCUGGCUGAAAGUCCCCAAACAGUAUCUAUGCCAUAUCUACAAUGUUGCACUUGCCUGAAAUUUCGUCUUUAAAUAAACUUAUGCCCUUAUUCAGUCUCCUUUAAAACCGCAGGACAUGAGCAAAAUGUUGACAAACUUUCUAUCAGAGCAAAACAUACAUGGUGUCAAGUCCAAUUGCUAUGGAGUUUGUUCUCAACAGAAACUUCUUGAAACUGGUCUUUACCAUCCACAUUCCAUUCUGCAUUCUUGUUUUCCGAGCUCUGACCAGAAUCUCCCAUCAGGCGAGGCUUACAGAAUUCUAGGGCAGCUUCUCCAGCCAGCAUCUCUAAACCUUACCAAAUCCAAUGAACCACUUCCAAGGGUUCUAAACCACAUGGGCAGAUAGCAUCACAUCAACUACCCCAUUCUUGAUACCACAAUCUAUCUUAGUCACUUUUUUUAUCCCUGUGUGAUAAAAUACCAGACACCCACAACUUAAGGAAGUAAUAGUUUAUUUUUGCUCCAAGGCAGAAAGGCAUGAUGGAAAGGCCUGGUCGGGGAGAACUACUAAUGGCAUGGUGUCCAGGAAGCAGACAGAGUAUCAGGGGAAGAGCUUGGAUGAUAGAUAUAUAACCCACCUCUUCUAUCCAGGCCCCACCUCCUAACAACUAGUCAGCUACAAUACCCCUGUAAUCCAAUAACCUGUGAGUUUUUAGGGGAACAUCUAGAUAUAAACCAUAACAGGUAUCAUUCUUGAAUUUAUCUGUGGAGAGUGGUAGCUAGAUUCCAAUUUAAGGCAACUCAGAUGAAAUUGGAAAGUAUGUUUUUAUAAUAGAAAUUGAGAAUUGACAGUAUGAAUACCUAAAAUAGAUAACUCAGACCUUUCAUAACUCACUCUAAUGCCUAAAUGAAUUUCUCAGAAACUGAUCAUAUUGUCCAGGAAGUUGUCAGAUAACCAAUCCACAGUUAAGGAUAUAUGUUUUGGUUAAUCACUAUACCCACAUUUUGCUAUAUUUUCCACAUAGAUACUCAGAAAAAAAGACUGAGUUGUUGAGGCAUCAGUAAAUAAGUAUGGUAAAAUGUUUCUACAAAUCACAGAUUUAUAGAAAGGUCUUCUGUCAUAAUUGUAUUAUAUAAAAAGACAUCCUGUUCUCAUAUUAAAAAUUAAAUGUAAAUUAAAAAGUAGUGUAAAUUAUCAAAUGAUAUCCUGUCUUUAUUCCUAGAACUUCUUAUCCCUUCCACAUGUAUGUGUACAAUAGAUACGUGUUAAGUAAAACUAAGAACUUUAUUGUAGAGAUGGUCACUACUCUCCUAUAUACAAUACUAGGUCAGAUCAAAUAUCUUCUUUUUAUUCUAUUUCUGAAAGCAAACAUGUAAUGGGAUAGUCCCAAUUUAUAAACAUUGUAUUUUGAAAUUCAAACAGUUUAUACAUUUAGACCCAAGAAUGCUUCUCUUUUUUUUUUUUUGGUACUGGGGAUCAAACUCGGGUCCUCGCGCUUGCACAGCAGGCAGCGAAACCACCGAGCUAAAUCCCCCGGCAAAGAGUGCUUCUCUUUCAUACAUUUAGUUCAACAAAUGCGUUUCUGCACUUGGUACAGUUGUAAGCUCUAGAAGUAAGAUACAGUGGUGACCAAAACAAAAGUUCCUGUUCUCACAUACACUUGAUCACUUUGAAUGAAAACUCUUAGAAUUGUGUUUGGCCUAUAGUAUACAAUCAGUAAUUGCCAAAUAAUAUUCUUAAGGAGUGACCGUAUUAUUUUGGCAAAUCUUUAUUCAGAGCCAUUAGAUUCUGAACUGAACCAUCAGUGUAUUUCACUUCCCAAAACAAAAUUAAAACAGAAUUACUGAAUAAAAUAAAAUACAUGAUAUUUUAGACACAUUUUUGUCUUACUUCAUUGAUUUUCCCUGGGCAUCCACUUUCAAAAAGGAAGCAUCUUUCUACUUUUUAAAAAUUUCUUUUUUUGUGGCUUUGGUAAGUCAUGGACAUGUGAUUCUCACUUAAAAAUAAUGAAGAUAUAAUAAUAUUCUAAUUCACAGGGAACACAGCAGAACUUAGUAAAUUAAUGUUUACACAGUGCUUAGAAAUAUGAGGUUGAAAUUGCUAAGAGUAAUGUACAGAACUAUUACUGCCACUAAAAUCGGGACAAUAGACAUUUUUUUCCUACUGAAAAAAGACCUCAGUGAAUUGGUGUAAAAGUUGUAUGCCACAUUAAAAAAAAUGUUCUAUGUGUAUCUAAAGGAAAAUCAAAUAAAGACCUUGUCAUUUCAUUAUUAUGUGGUCUAAAAAUUUCUAGAGAAUCACUAUUUUGGGGAAAGUAAAUGGCAUUUAAGACCUUAUGAUUCACCAGACUGGACAGAUGGAUGAUUGCAUCUUCUUAUGUAAGUGACAGGUGGCAGCUCCAGUGAAAUGGCUUCCAAAGUUCUGAUUUUUGUCUCUCUUUCUUAGCUGGUGUUUGGUUUGGUGCUCAGUAGUAGUGCACUCCAAUUCCAAAAGUAAGGAGAAUUUGAGAGACCAGGAAAUGUGUGUCUAUAUUUGUGUGUGUGUGUCUGUGUGUGUGUGUUUGUGUGUCUGUGUGUGUUUGUGCUUGUAACUUACUGGCUCUUUAGUUAAGUCAGUCCUCUCAGUGGUCUAAGUAAAAUGGCAGAGAGUAGAUACCCCGAAGCAAUACACUAUGAUUUGAAAUCAGAUCUGAACUGCCUUUUCCUAGAAUAGUGAUUUUCCAUGUACACUUCAUAUAUCAUCUAGAGUUAAAGGUCAUGGUGUGUGAUACCUUCCCCUAUCAGCAGAAGAUGAUGAAAAGAGUUUAAACCUUAAAAUUUAAAGGGGAAUAAAUUAGUCCUAAGUUUUAUUUAUUCAACAAAUAUAUAGUGAACACCAAAAUGGUGAUACCAUGAAUUAUAAGGCAAAUUUUUGGUCUUGCAGAGCUUCCAGUUUGGGAGAAGAAAGACAAUAAAUACAUAAUUUUAGGAAAGAAUAAAUACUAUAAUAUGAAGAAAAUAAAAUAAUAUAGGACAGAGUGGAGAUGGCAGCUAUUUUAGAAAUGACGAAUAGUAUAAACCUCCUGAAAAAGUGAUAUUUGAGUAGAGAACAAAACAAAGAAGAAAGAAACAUGCUAAUCUUGGGAAAAGGAGCAUUCCUAGGAUGAGUCAUAUGAAGAUUGAAGGCCCUGAAGUGGGACAUACGGUAAUAUAUUCCAGGAAAGAGAAACAUUUCAUGUAUUCACAAAAUUUUUAAAAUCUUGAAGAACCAGGUAGAGAUGUGCUCAUUCAGUGUACACGUACUUGCCCUAUACAACCUGUAGGGCUGGAGGAUGUUAAAAUACCCUGAGAAAGAGAUUUCCAGUUUCAGAUUUUAAGGUGUUUUUAUGAUCCUUUUGAUGUUAGUUAAACCACAAAAAGUAUAAAUAUCUUCAGUCAAGUAGCAUAGAACUUAAUCUCUUCUCAUAACACCUGAAGUUUACUCCCUGAAAAUGCUUUUGAGAAGGAAUGCCACAAAACAACCGAACCACACCAAUGAGGGAUUCAGGGUGAGACUGCCAGGGCAAGGGGUAGGAAAGUACAGCACAGCACUUCAAUGAUCUAUCUUUUUAGCCUUCUUCUGUUUUAGAAAUUCUGAACCACGGAAAAAAACAAAAGUUUUACUCAAAGAGCUUAAGGAGAAACUAAGACUUUAAUGACCAGUCAGCCCAGAGAAGUUCAUACUUCAGAAACGCCUUGACCCUGAGCGCUCAAAAAGGGGAGGUUUUUAUAUUGUAAUUUUAAAUUAGGAGGGAGCUAGGGACUAACAAAGCAGAAUUUGACAGAGGCAGGAGUUUUUAGCAGAUAAGCAGGAGUCAUAAUUGAUCUGUGGUUAGGGGCUUUCUUUAGGAACAGGUUUUUUGCAUAGCAUAACAGGACACUUAGGGCUAACAUGACAGGGUGCACAUUGUGAAGCUAAGACUAACAGGCUAUAUAUAACAGGACCUGAGGGCUCUCAGAAAGAACAUCCAUUGUGACCAUGAAAGCUAUCAG
This 25192-nucleotide long non-coding RNA is filed under the name Heterocephalus glaber (naked mole-rat). Its description in RNAcentral is "lncRNA (ENSHGLG00100045334.1)". Lineage: Eukaryota; Metazoa; Chordata; Mammalia; Rodentia; Bathyergidae. The record is from RNAcentral.